CCACACCCGUUUUGUCCACCGCCAUCACCACCUUCUCCCAGAUCAAGGACAAAGUGUAUUACAGACUCACACAUAAGGAAGAUAUGCGUGUGAUUGUGUUUGGCACGCCAUCACACACAACCUGCAGUUCAUGCUUGGGAUGGGACACACUGGGACAGCCUCGGACCGUUGGUGGGAGCAAGACAAGGCUGUGGCAAUUUUGCCACUCAGACCUGUUGCCUUGUUACUAUUAUUGCACAUCCUAAGAAGAACUCGUGGAGACCACACCACAGCUGCAUAUUCCAGCCUUGGGCGUAUCAUGCUUGUGAU
Portunus trituberculatus (swimming crab) is the source of this 309-nucleotide long non-coding RNA. RefSeq lists it as uncharacterized. The transcript is spliced from 3 exons. NCBI's taxonomy places the organism in Eukaryota, Metazoa, Arthropoda, Malacostraca, Decapoda, Portunidae. The record is from RefSeq and is a predicted model, not a curated record.